Molecule: transfer RNA, 74 nt
Filed under: Toona ciliata
Lineage: Eukaryota; Viridiplantae; Streptophyta; Magnoliopsida; Sapindales; Meliaceae
Also listed under: 3 other names
Description: tRNA-Arg
Source: RNAcentral
AAAAAGAUGCUUUAAGGAAAGGGAGAAGUUGCGAAGUGUUCAAGCUGAGGCCAAACCGGAAUCUUCUCUUUUUG